GGGGAUGUAGCUCAGUGGAAGAGCACCCACCUAGCAGAUGCAAGUCUCUAGGUUUAAUCCCCAGUAUCACCA
RNAcentral lists this transfer RNA (72 nucleotides) under Heterocephalus glaber (naked mole-rat). It matches the Rfam family "tRNA". Rfam says of the family: Transfer RNA (tRNA) molecules are approximately 80 nucleotides in length. Their secondary structure includes four short double-helical elements and three loops (D, anti-codon, and T loops). The record is from Rfam by way of RNAcentral. Lineage: Eukaryota; Metazoa; Chordata; Mammalia; Rodentia; Bathyergidae.